GAUGAACGCUAGCUACAGGCUUAACACAUGCAAGUCGAGGGGCAGCAUGGAGAUUGCUUGCAAUCUUUGAUGGCGACCGGCGCACGGGUGCGUAACGCGUAUCGAACCUGCCCUGUACACGGGGAUAGCCUUGCGAAAGCAAGAUUAAUACCCGAUGUUUUGGUGAUGCCGCAUGACAUUACCAACAAAGAUUUAUCGGUACAGGAUGGCGAUGCGUCCCAUUAGCUUGUUGGCGGGGUAACGGCCCACCAAGGCAUCGAUGGGUAGGGGUUCUGAGAGGAAGGUCCCCCACACUGGAACUGAGACACGGUCCAGACUCC
RNAcentral lists this ribosomal RNA (320 nucleotides) under uncultured Prevotella sp. RNAcentral describes it as "bacterial SSU rRNA". It matches the Rfam family "Bacterial small subunit ribosomal RNA", at positions 28 to 339 of the family's 1533-position model. The record is from RNAcentral. Lineage: Bacteria; Pseudomonadati; Bacteroidota; Bacteroidia; Bacteroidales; Prevotellaceae.